RNAcentral lists this ribosomal RNA (580 nucleotides) under Salmonella enterica subsp. enterica serovar Grumpensis. RNAcentral describes it as "partial 23S ribosomal RNA". It matches the Rfam family "Bacterial large subunit ribosomal RNA", at positions 683 to 1259 of the family's 2925-position model. The record is from RNAcentral. Lineage: Bacteria; Pseudomonadati; Pseudomonadota; Gammaproteobacteria; Enterobacterales; Enterobacteriaceae.
CUUAACCGGGCGUUAAGUUGCAGGGUAUAGACCCGAAACCCGGUGAUCUAGCCAUGGGCAGGUUGAAGGUUGGGUAACACUAACUGGAGGACCGAACCGACUAAUGUUGAAAAAUUAGCGGAUGACCUGUGGCUGGGGGUGAAAGGCCAAUCAAACCGGGAGAUAGCUGGUUCUCCCCGAAAGCUAUUUAGGUAGCGCCUCGUGAAUUCAUCUCCGGGGGUAGAGCACUGUUUCGGCUAGGGGGCCAUCCCGGCUUACCAACCCGAUGCAAACUGCGAAUACCGGAGAAUGUUAUCACGGGAGACACACGGCGGGUGCUAACGUCCGUCGUGAAGAGGGAAACAACCCAGACCGCCAGCUAAGGUCCCAAAGUCAUGGUUAAGUGGGAAACGAUGUGGGAAGGCCCAGACAGCCAGGAUGUUGGCUUAGAAGCAGCCAUCAUUUAAAGAAAGCGUAAUAGCUCACUGGUCGAGUCGGCCUGCGCGGAAGAUGUAACGGGGCUAAACCAUGCACCGAAGCUGCGGCAGCGACACUCAGGUGUUGUUGGGUAGGGGAGCGUUCUGUAAGCCUGUGAAGGUGU